This 1385-nucleotide ribosomal RNA is filed under the name Foraminitermes rhinoceros. RNAcentral describes it as "16S ribosomal RNA". The stretch from base 899 to 1267 matches the Rfam family "Bacterial large subunit ribosomal RNA", at positions 2073 to 2647 of the family's 2925-position model. Lineage: Eukaryota; Metazoa; Arthropoda; Insecta; Blattodea; Termitidae. The record is from RNAcentral.
GCGAUUCGACAUGGUCUGAGUUUUAAUUGAUUGUUUUGUUGUUUUUAUUUGUUGUGCUAGAUGUUUUAUUGAAGUAUCAUUGUUGUUGUUGUAAUUUUUUGAUUUGAUUUUUUUGACGAUAGUUUAUUUGUACCGUAGGGGUUUAAUGGGUUUAUUAGUGUUUUUUUGGAAGCUGAUUUUGUUUGUCGUACCUUGUGUAUCAGGGUUCAUUGAAUUUUAUUAUUUAUUUUUAUUUCCCGAUUUUAAAGGAGCUAGCUGUUUAUGUUGGUUACUGUUUCAUUAGUAUCAAUAAUAGUUAGUUGGUAGUGAAAUGUUAUUCGUCUUUAAAGGUCUCUGGUUCUUCAAGAAAUGAAUUUAAUUCAUGCUCUUUGUUUAGAUUUUAUUUUUGGUUUAUUUUUCUUUACUUUGUGUAAAAAUUAAGGGGGAUUAGCUCCUUAUUUUAAUUUUAUAACUUUGUUUUUUAUUUAUUUUUGUGGAUUUUAUAUUGAUUCUCAAUUUGAUUAUGUUAAAAUUUUGUUAGUUUAUUUGUUUAUUUGUUUGGGGUUUAAGUUUUUAUUGAAGUGUAUUCUUUAUUUUUUUCUGUGUAUUAAUUAUUGUGUAAUUAGUAAAUUUGUUUUUAUUUUGUUUUAUUGGAUGUUAAUUUCUUUCGAGGAAUUAGGCAAAAAUUACAUGUCCGCCUGUUUAGCAAAAACAUCUCUUCUUGCUAGUAUUUGAAGUAUGGCCUGCCCACUGACGUUUAUUAGUUGAAGGGCCGCGGUAUUUUGACCGUGCAAAGGUAGCAUAGUCAUUAGUUCUUUAAUUGUGAUCUGGUAUGAAUGGCUUGACGAGACAUGGGCUGUCUUGGGUUAAAGGAUGAUUUAGUUGAAUUUGGUUUCUGAGUUAAAAUUCUUAGAUGUUUUUAUGGGACGAGAAGACCCUAUAGAGUUUGACACUACUUUAUUUCGUUACUGGUUGUUUGAUUUUAUAUUUGAUAUUUAUUAGUGUUUUGUUGGGGUGAUGGGAGGAAUAUCUUUUAACUCCUCUUUGUUUUAAUAUACUUAUUUGUGAUGAUUUGAUCCAUUUAUUAUGAUUAUAAGAUUAAAUUACCUUAGGGAUAACAGCGUUAUCCUCCUUGAGAGUUCUUAUUGGCGGGAGGGUUUGCGACCUCGAUGUUGGAUUAAGAUUGAUUUUCGGUGUAGAAGCUGAGGCGAUUGGGUCUGUUCGACCUUUAAAAUCUUACAUGAUCUGAGUUCAAACCGGCGUGAGCCAGGUUGGUUUCUAUCUAUAAUUGUUUUUUAUUCCUUAGUACGAGAGGACCGGGUAUUUUGAAUAAUUUUAUUUUUAUUGGUUUUUGUUAAUUGGUUACUAUUUUGGCAGACAAGUGCAUUGGAUUUAGAAUCUAUUAA